AACGAACGCUGGCGGUAGGCCUAACACAUGCAAGUCGAACGGCAGCACCGUGACAGCUUGCUCUCACGGGUGGCACGUGGCGGAAGGGGGCGGAAUACAUCGGAAACUACUCUUUCGUGGGGGCUAACGUAGGGAAACUUACGCUAAUACAGCAUACGUCCUACGGGUGAAAGCCGGGGAUCUUCGGACCUUGCGCGAGGGAAUGAGCCGAUGUAGGAUUAGAUCGUUGGCGGGGUAAAGGCCCACAACGGCGACGAUCCGUAGCUGGUCUGAGAGGGUGAUCAGCCACACUGGAACUGAGACACGUUCCAGACUCCUACGCGAGGCAGCAGUGGAGAAUAUUGCACGAUGGACGCAAGCCUGAUCCAGCCAUACCGCGGGAGUGCUGAACCCCUUCGGCUUGGAAAGCGCUUUUGUUGUUAGAGAAAUACAGCAGUUUUACACCCCGCUGUUCUGACGGCACCCAAAGAAUAAGCUCCGGCUAACUUCGUG
Molecule: ribosomal RNA, 492 nt
Filed under: uncultured bacterium
Lineage: Bacteria
Description: partial 16S ribosomal RNA
Rfam family: Bacterial small subunit ribosomal RNA
Source: RNAcentral